RNAcentral lists this ribosomal RNA (490 nucleotides) under uncultured bacterium. RNAcentral's name for it is "partial 16S ribosomal RNA". It matches the Rfam family "Bacterial small subunit ribosomal RNA", at positions 29 to 507 of the family's 1533-position model. The record is from RNAcentral.
AGUGAACGCUGGCGGUAGGCCUAACACAUGCAAGUCGAACGGCAGCACAGUAAGAGCUUGCUCUUACGGGUGGCGAGUGGCGGACGGGUGAGGAAUACAUCGGAAUCUACUUUUUCGUGGGGGAUAACGUAGGGAAACUUACGCUAAUACCGCAUACGACCUACGGGUGAAAGCAGGGGAUCUUCGGACCUUGCGCGAUUGAAUGAGCCGAUGUCGGAUUAGCUAGUUGGCGGGGUAAAGGCCCACCAAGGCGACGAUCCGUAGCUGGUCUGAGAGGAUGGUCCGCCACAGGAGAACUGAGACACGGUCCAGACUUCAGCGAGGGGCAGGAGUGGAAAAUAGUGGACAAGGGGCGAAAGUCUGAUACAGCCAUACCGCGUGAGUGAAGAACGCCUUGGGGGUGAAGCCCUUUUGUUGGGAAAGAAAAGCAGCAGGUUAAUACCCCGCUGUUCUGACGGUACCCAAAGAAUAAGCACCGGCUAACUUCGUG